This 2307-nucleotide ribosomal RNA is filed under the name Escherichia coli. RNAcentral's name for it is "partial 23S ribosomal RNA". It matches the Rfam family "Bacterial large subunit ribosomal RNA", at positions 344 to 2640 of the family's 2925-position model. Lineage: Bacteria; Pseudomonadati; Pseudomonadota; Gammaproteobacteria; Enterobacterales; Enterobacteriaceae. The record is from RNAcentral.
GGAAAGGCGCGCGAUACAGGGUGACAGCCCCGUACACAAAAAUGCACAUGCUGUGAGCUCGAUGAGUAGGGCGGGACACGUGGUAUCCUGUCUGAAUAUGGGGGGACCAUCCUCCAAGGCUAAAUACUCCUGACUGACCGAUAGUGAACCAGUACCGUGAGGGAAAGGCGAAAAGAACCCCGGCGAGGGGAGUGAAAAAGAACCUGAAACCGUGUACGUACAAGCAGUGGGAGCACGCUUAGGCGUGUGACUGCGUACCUUUUGUAUAAUGGGUCAGCGACUUAUAUUCUGUAGCAAGGUUAACCGAAUAGGGGAGCCGAAGGGAAACCGAGUCUUAACUGGGCGUUAAGUUGCAGGGUAUAGACCCGAAACCCGGUGAUCUAGCCAUGGGCAGGUUGAAGGUUGGGUAACACUAACUGGAGGACCGAACCGACUAAUGUUGAAAAAUUAGCGGAUGACUUGUGGCUGGGGGUGAAAGGCCAAUCAAACCGGGAGAUAGCUGGUUCUCCCCGAAAGCUAUUUAGGUAGCGCCUCGUGAAUUCAUCUCCGGGGGUAGAGCACUGUUUCGGCAAGGGGGUCAUCCCGACUUACCAACCCGAUGCAAACUGCGAAUACCGGAGAAUGUUAUCACGGGAGACACACGGCGGGUGCUAACGUCCGUCGUGAAGAGGGAAACAACCCAGACCGCCAGCUAAGGUCCCAAAGUCAUGGUUAAGUGGGAAACGAUGUGGGAAGGCCCAGACAGCCAGGAUGUUGGCUUAGAAGCAGCCAUCAUUUAAAGAAAGCGUAAUAGCUCACUGGUCGAGUCGGCCUGCGCGGAAGAUGUAACGGGGCUAAACCAUGCACCGAAGCUGCGGCAGCGACACUAUGUGUUGUUGGGUAGGGGAGCGUUCUGUAAGCCUGUGAAGGUGUACUGUGAGGUAUGCUGGAGGUAUCAGAAGUGCGAAUGCUGACAUAAGUAACGAUAAAGCGGGUGAAAAGCCCGCUCGCCGGAAGACCAAGGGUUCCUGUCCAACGUUAAUCGGGGCAGGGUGAGUCGACCCCUAAGGCGAGGCCGAAAGGCGUAGUCGAUGGGAAACAGGUUAAUAUUCCUGUACUUGGUGUUACUGCGAAGGGGGGACGGAGAAGGCUAUGUUGGCCGGGCGACGGUUGUCCCGGUUUAAGCGUGUAGGCUGGUUUUCCAGGCAAAUCCGGAAAAUCAAGGCUGAGGCGUGAUGACGAGGCACUACGGUGCUGAAGCAACAAAUGCCCUGCUUCCAGGAAAAGCCUCUAAGCAUCAGGUAACAUCAAAUCGUACCCCAAACCGACACAGGUGGUCAGGUAGAGAAUACCAAGGCGCUUGAGAGAACUCGGGUGAAGGAACUAGGCAAAAUGGUGCCGUAACUUCGGGAGAAGGCACGCUGAUAUGUAGGUGAAGUCCCUCGCGGAUGGAGCUGAAAUCAGUCGAAGAUACCAGCUGGCUGCAACUGUUUAUUAAAAACACAGCACUGUGCAAACACGAAAGUGGACGUAUACGGUGUGACGCCUGCCCGGUGCCGGAAGGUUAAUUGAUGGGGUCAGCGCAAGCGAAGCUCUUGAUCGAAGCCCCGGUAAACGGCGGCCGUAACUAUAACGGUCCUAAGGUAGCGAAAUUCCUUGUCGGGUAAGUUCCGACCUGCACGAAUGGCGUAAUGAUGGCCAGGCUGUCUCCACCCGAGACUCAGUGAAAUUGAACUCGCUGUGAAGAUGCAGUGUACCCGCGGCAAGACGGAAAGACCCCGUGAACCUUUACUAUAGCUUGACACUGAACAUUGAGCCUUGAUGUGUAGGAUAGGUGGGAGGCUUUGAAGUGUGGACGCCAGUCUGCAUGGAGCCGACCUUGAAAUACCACCCUUUAAUGUUUGAUGUUCUAACGUUGACCCGUAAUCCGGGUUGCGGACAGUGUCUGGUGGGUAGUUUGACUGGGGCGGUCUCCUCCUAAAGAGUAACGGAGGAGCACGAAGGUUGGCUAAUCCUGGUCGGACAUCAGGAGGUUAGUGCAAUGGCAUAAGCCAGCUUGACUGCGAGCGUGACGGCGCGAGCAGGUGCGAAAGCAGGUCAUAGUGAUCCGGUGGUUCUGAAUGGAAGGGCCAUCGCUCAACGGAUAAAAGGUACUCCGGGGAUAACAGGCUGAUACCGCCCAAGAGUUCAUAUCGACGGCGGUGUUUGGCACCUCGAUGUCGGCUCAUCACAUCCUGGGGCUGAAGUAGGUCCCAAGGGUAUGGCUGUUCGCCAUUUAAAGUGGUACGCGAGCUGGGUUUAGAACGUCGUGAGACAGUUCGGUCCCUA